This 403-nucleotide ribosomal RNA is filed under the name uncultured bacterium. Its description in RNAcentral is "bacterial SSU rRNA". It matches the Rfam family "Bacterial small subunit ribosomal RNA", at positions 355 to 775 of the family's 1533-position model. The record is from RNAcentral.
UGAGGAAUAUUGCACAAUGGGCGAAAGCCUGAUGCAGCAACGCCGCGUGAGGGACGAAGGCCUUCGGGUCGUAAACCUCUUUUCUGGGGGACGAGACAGACGGUACCCCAGGAAUAAGUUCCGGCUAACUACGUGCCAGCAGCCGCGGUAAAACGUAGGGGACAAGCGUUAUCCGGAUUUACUGGGCGUAAAGCGCACGUAGGCGGACGGGUAAGUUGGCCGUGAAAGCUCCUGGCUUAACUGGGAGAGGUCGGACAAAACUGCCAGACUUGAGGCUGAGAGAGGAGAGCGGAAUUCCCGGUGUAGUGGUGGAAUGCGUAGAUAUCGGGAGGAACACCAGUGGCGAAGGCGGCUCUUUGGCUCAGAACUGACGCUGAGGUGCGAAAGCGUGGGGAGCGAACGG